UUUUUUUUUUUUUAAUUUUUAAAUUAAUACUUUGGAAUAUAUUUUGCCAUUUGUCCAAAAUAGAAUUCAAGAAUGAUAUCUGUCAUCCGUAGUGCAUCAGAAGUUAUUUUAAAUAUGGCAUCUUUAUAAAAGUCAAUAGCUGCCUCAUCAAAGGGCAAUCAUGUCCAGUGUGGGUGGCUGUGCCAAUUGUUUUUGAACUACUGCAGCAAGCUAGCCAAUCCCAGGGAAUGGCUUGCAGCCUUUCUACACCCACAUUUUUUCUUAAUUAUCUCCACCAGGCUGAGUUAGCUAAGGACAGAUCUAUAGCAUUUCCUGGAUGUCAAAAUGCCCACACACCUUCUGCAAUCCUUGAGCUUCCAGCUCCCUUUCAUGUUUUUCCUGGUUGGUCCAUCUAAUUAUCUAUUAUCAUGUAUAUAUAAUGCAUUAUUCAUGAGGCCCAGACAAUUUCAGAAUGUAAUAUCUCUGAUUUCAAAAGGAAAUGACCUGAAAAAUUAGAACUUAUGCUUGCACAAAGAAGAUGAGCAAUUAAUUUGAUAGUGAGUCUCUCUCAUCAUCCCAUACAUUUGAAAAAUAAUCUGCAGGAGUUUGGGAUCAUUGUUCAAAUUAAAACUCUCCCAGUCGUCAUUUCUCAGAAAACCACAGGUUCAACAUCUAGAUUCCUUCUAUAUGGGGUUUAAAUAAGUUGCCUUGACUUCUCAUAAUGUGCUUCCUAACAAACAAGUUAAAAACCUGGUGGCACCCCAAAUUAUAAAUCAUCAAAGGUUAGGGUGACUUAGGCCCUACCUUCCGCCAAGGAGGAGUUAUCUGUUGUAUCACUCAAACUUGGAGCUAACAUGGAAUUGAGAGUUUAUCUUGAGAACAUCUUCCUUGUCUUAUGUGUGAGGAAAUAGAGAUGCUGAGGGACUAAUGGAUUUUUUUUCAGCUCCUGACAACUAGUUGGGAGGGAAGCUUGAACUCAGACUUUUAAUUUGGUUCACUGUGUUCUCUUGAAAAAGGUAAGAUUCCAGCAGUUUGUCCCCUUCUGGAGAUUGGAGGAAAUUAAAGGACGAGUCAUGUCUCUAACCUAUAAGCUCCACCAAGAUAGGUGCCAUUUAGUCUUCCUUAUUGCUGAAUCUUCAGCUUGUAAGUUAAUGCUUAUUGCAUAGAAAUAUAAAUCUUAGCAUCUAGAAAGUAUACCUUUUGGGCAAAGUAGGAAGCGGCCGGUCAAGUUCAUGAUCCCGUAAGUAUCAGGGUAUCUACCAAGACAAGCAAGAUCCCAGGAAUUGAAAGCUGGGAUGAAAUUCCAGAGGCUUGGAAGAAAACAAGUCAGUAUGAAUUCAAGCAUCAGAUAUGGGUUGGGAUAAGUGACCUCUGAGAACCUUCCCAGCCCUUGGAUUCUAUGACUCACUAGAAAAGCAAAAUGAUUCUUGGCUUUGGCUCUUCCUAUUUUCUGUGUUGUUUUUUUGGGGACUUAGAGACUGUGCCUUAGAUGGUAUGUCAGGUACAGGAAGAUUCCUUCCUUUGAGUCUCCAAUUGCAGGAGAUUGAAGUGGCUUAGAAAGGCAAGGUCAUAGAAUUCGGUGAACUGUUUGUAAAUAGUUUUUUUUUUUUUUUUAUCAAAGAAAUCAAAAUAGGAGAAAGAUAACACAUACAGUUCCCUCAGAUGCCUAAGUGGGAUUUGAGGUGGCACCGUCUGGAGAGGAACAAGCAUGAUCCGUGAAAUUUGAAGAAAUAGACUGAGUCAGUCUUCACCUCUUACCAGCAGCGUGGUCCUGGACAACUCUGAAUCUGAAUUUCCUCAUCUGUAAAAAGGUGACUGCUAAUUCCUACCCGACACAAAUGCCAAAGAGAUCAAAUAAGGAAUAAGGUAAAAAGCUAUCAAAGCACUACAUGCCUACAAAAUACUAUUAUCAGGAAAUACAAAUAAAGUCUGCAUUAUAGCAGAAUUCUUUCUAGGACUCCUUUAGAAUGUUAGGAAAAAAGAAAAAAAAGUAAGAAAGUCUGCCUACAUUUUUAAAAACUCAGAAUGAACACUCCCCAAAUUGCCAAAUGAAAAUGGAGGCAGGGACAAAGAAUUUAACAUUCUGACCUUUGCAUCAUGCUGUUUUGGGGUAUUAGUCUUCAGGGAACAUGUGUAUCUUCCUCAAGACACACUUGUUAAAGCAGUAGCUUUAACUUCCAAAGUAAAAGAAAAGAAAGAGAGAGAUUUCAAAUUGUUGAAAGUAUGAUCACUCUUAAGUCAAAGGGGGAAGGAAAUUUUCUUUUUAUUGUUGAAGAAUUCAGUCUUUCUGCCUUUACAGGCAACCCCCCCUCCCCAUUUCCAUAGGAUUCAAUAGUGGUAUGCUCUCACUAGGUGUUACUAUUUAUCUUUAUUAAGUACCACACUCUGUUCUUUACGUGGAUUGUGUCGUGUCAACUCAAGAGAGCCCCGCUUGUUAAUGACACCAGCAAAGACACAGAGACAAACAUGCCCCUACACACGCACACGCACACACGCACGCACACACAGCAGUAGCAGAUCAGCAGGGAAAGACACGAGCCAAAGAAAGAUAAUUUGAGUUACUUCUGAGGUAGCAGUUGUAAAAUUAAAAUAGGCAACUCAUUAAAUUAUCCAUAGAGUGAAAAGAAAGCUACCAAAAUAGAUAUUUUUCUGGCAAGUCAGUGCUUUUCAGAAAAAAAAAAUUUAGUUUUAAGCAGAAUUUUAAAACCAGAUGAUAUCAGUUGGUAUUCAUUAGAAUCAUUUAAAUAGUUUGCCCUAAUCAAAAGCAAAGAAUAGCUUUGCUGGCCUUUGGUAGAAGUAUAUUGAAUAAAAAAUAUGUUCAGUGAGACAUCAUUUUAACUGACAGAUUGUAAGCAAUUUGAUCUGGUGAAUGCUAUUUGAGCAAGUUGGAGCCUGGUCCCCAAAUCAUAGAAUUAAAAAUAAAAAUUCUUUUCCGGCAAUGCCUCCAUGCUGGCUUUUCUUCAUUUCCAUGUGCUGGUUUUUGUGGCCGAUUAUCUAUUUAGUGGUCAUCAUCCAGGCCUUGCCUCGCACAUUGACUGAUUUGGGGAUUUUGUUUCUUACUAACGCUUCCCCUAGAGGACAGGCCAGGAAAAGAAAAGAAACUAGAUUCACCAGCUUCUCCUCUUAUUAAAAAUUUAGAUUAGCGACUUGAUAGGAAAAGAGGCUGGCAAAUAAACGAAGUUUACGUACGUUGAUUUUGGUAUCUUUUCAAGGCCUUCUUUCCGACUCACACUGGUAGGCAAUUAACAAAUACUGUUUUGUAAGCCAGCAAAAAUCUUGCUUGUACAAUCCCUAUUCCUGCCUUAACCAUACAAAUUUAACGAUCAUCUAAAAAUAAUUAGCACCCUGAUUCCAUUCAAUGAAAGUGCUGUACGUAAAGAGAAUGUAAAAUAGUGACAGCUCCCAUUUGCGGAGAGCGUCUGCUUCCCAGCUUGCAAAACCCUUUCAGACAUUUUUUUUCUUCCUAUCCUGCAAAAAUUGCUGUGUUGUAGGUCUUACUAUCAAUGACACUGAAAAAGCUACAGGCAGGAUGAAUAUAUUUUCAUCUGAAUCAAUACUGAUAUAUUCCAUUGGGGGAGCUAGACCAAGCGAACAUCUCACACACGGAAAUAUUAAUAUGCAAGACCAGGGGUCCAAAAGUAGGCUAGAAGGUUGCUGGUUUUUAGGGUUAAAAAGAGCCCCCCCCCCUCCUUGCUCUCUCUCUCUCUCUCUGUAUCACCUUCUAAUCUUCCUUCUGAUUGCAAACCGGACAAUUGAAAUUUCUUGCCUUCCUGCUGAGACGCUCUAUGUAAAUACACAUCAACAGUGACUAGCAGGUGCACCAUCCUUAAAGGGACCUUCGUCUCCGCGGCGCCCUAGGCGAAACCAUUUUACCUCCUAAGUCGAGGACGUGUGUGUCUGUGACAGAGGAUGACGUGACACUUUGCAGGUUUAAGUGCUUAAUGAUCUCGAGGUUACAAGCAUGAGGCUGUUAAGCAUUUCCCCCUCCUGGUCUCCCAGAGACGCGGAAUCUACAAUUUUCUCGGGUCGCCUGUCAGAUAAAUUGGCAAGUCGACUAAAAGGCUAAUAUUCCCUUAGCGAUGCCUCCCUCGGAAGCCCUAGCAACUGUAUUAGGCAGCGGGGAGUACUCGCGAGCAAGACACCUCGCCGAGAGGGAACUCUGCAAUUUAGAGUGACAGAUGAUUCUUUUCUCAUCCAUCAAGCCGCCUCAAAAUGUCACAAUAUUUACACCUCUUCCUUGGUGAAUUAGAAUCCAGGCAGGGUAAAAAAAAAAAAAAAAAAAAAAAAAAA
This 4269-nucleotide long non-coding RNA is filed under the name Canis lupus familiaris (dog). RNAcentral describes it as "lncRNA (ENSCAFG00000056792.1)". Lineage: Eukaryota; Metazoa; Chordata; Mammalia; Carnivora; Canidae. The record is from RNAcentral.